GAUGAACGCUGGCGGCGUGCCUAAUACAUGCAAGUCGAGCGAACGGACGAGAAGCUUGCUUCUCUGAUGUUAGCGGCGGACGGGUGAGUAACACGUGGAUAACCUACCUAUAAGACUGGGAUAACUUCGGGAAACCGUAGCUAAUACCGGAUAAUAUUUUGAACCGCAUGGUUCAAAAGUGAAAGACGGUCUUGCUGUCACUUAUAGAUGGAUCCGCGCUGCAUUAGCUAGUUGGUAAGGUAACGGCUUACCAAGGCAACGAUGCAUAGCCGACCUGAGAGGGUGAUCGGCCACACUGGAACUGAGACACGGUCCAGACUCCUACGGGAGGCAGCAGUAGGGAAUCUUCCGCAAUGGGCGAAAGCCUGACGGAGCAACGCGCGUGAGUGAUGAAGGUCUUCGGAUCGUAAAACUCUGUUAUUAGGGAAGAACAUAUGUGUAAGUAACUGUGCACAUCUUGACGGUACCUAAUCAGAGAGCCACGGCUAACUACGUG
Molecule: ribosomal RNA, 496 nt
Filed under: uncultured bacterium
Lineage: Bacteria
Description: partial 16S ribosomal RNA
Rfam family: Bacterial small subunit ribosomal RNA
Source: RNAcentral